RNAcentral lists this transfer RNA (62 nucleotides) under Chaetocnema tibialis. RNAcentral's name for it is "tRNA-Glu". The record is from RNAcentral. Lineage: Eukaryota; Metazoa; Arthropoda; Insecta; Coleoptera; Chrysomelidae.
AUUUAUAUAGUUUAAUAAAAACAUUACAUUUUCAUUGUAAAAUUAGAUUUUUCUUAUAAAUA